RNAcentral lists this ribosomal RNA (468 nucleotides) under uncultured bacterium. RNAcentral describes it as "partial 16S ribosomal RNA". It matches the Rfam family "Bacterial small subunit ribosomal RNA", at positions 28 to 507 of the family's 1533-position model. The record is from RNAcentral.
GACGAACGCUGGCGGCGUGCUUAACACAUGCAAGUCGAACGGAAAGGCCCUGCUUUUGUGGGGUGCUCGAGUCGCGAACGGGUGAGUAACGUGUGAAUAACCUGCCCUUGAUUUUGGUAUAACUUCAGGAAACUGGGGCUAAUACCGGAUUGGAGCUCCUGCUGCAUGGUGGGGGUUGGAAAGUUUCGGCGGGUGGGGAUGGACUCGCGGCUGAUCAGCUUGUUGGUGGGGUAGUGGCUUACCAAGGCUUUGACGGGUAGCCGGCCUGAGAGGGUGACCGGCCACAUUGGGACUGAGAUACGGCCCAGACUCCUACGGGAGGCAGCAGUGGGGAAUAUUGCACAAUGGGCGGAAGCCUGAUGCAGCAACGCCGCGUGCGGGAUGACGGCCUUCGGGUUGUAAACCGCUUUCGCCUGUGACGAAGCGUGAGUGACGGUAAUGGGUAAAGAAGCACCGGCUAACUACGUG